Molecule: ribosomal RNA, 219 nt
Filed under: Triticum aestivum (bread wheat)
Lineage: Eukaryota; Viridiplantae; Streptophyta; Magnoliopsida; Poales; Poaceae
Description: partial small subunit ribosomal RNA
Source: RNAcentral
AUGACUGGUUCAGGAGCUGCAGUCCAUCACCACUCAUCACCACCCGUCUUCUUCAACUCUAUUCGUCGGCUCGCUGUCUACUGCCCUCCUUCAUUUCUCCACAUCGCAGCUGAAGAGAUGAUUGAAGAAUUUGGGGACAAGGUGAAGGGAAAGCACAAGGUCCAUGGUGGUGCUGAAAUUGAUUUGUUUGAUGUCAAGUACUAUGUUAUCAAGUACUAA